AUGUCGUUCGCUUACAAGUUCAGGUACAUCGUCGUCGGCGACACAGGAGUUGGGAAGUCAUGCCUCCUGCUGCAGUUCACCGACAAGCGGUUCCAGCCCGUGCACGACCUGACCAUCGGCGUCGAAUUUGGACAGCGGAUGGUCACCAUCGACAAGAAGAAAAUAAAGCUUCAGAUCUGGGACACGGCAGGCCAGGAGGCUUUCAGGUCAAUCACUAAAUCCUACUACAGAAGUGCGGCCGCUGCUCUUCUUGUUUAUGACAUCACCAGGAGGGAGACCUUCAACCAUGUUGCGAGCUGGCUGGAAGAAAUGAGGGAGCAGGCGGACGGCAACAACAACAUCACCAUCAUGCUGGUCGGAAACAAGUCAGAUUUAGGUCAGAGGCGAGCCGUCAGCACGGAAGAGGGCGAGCAGUUCGCCAAGGAGAACGGCCUCGCCUUCAUGGAGACCUCGGCCAGAACCCGGCACAACGUGGAGGAGGCAUUCCUUCAAAGCUCGUCCAAUGUGUACGAGAAGAUCCAGGAAGGCGCCAUCGAUCUCUCCAAGGUGGGUGUGUCUGCAUAG
Molecule: ribosomal RNA, 564 nt
Filed under: Triticum aestivum (bread wheat)
Lineage: Eukaryota; Viridiplantae; Streptophyta; Magnoliopsida; Poales; Poaceae
Description: partial small subunit ribosomal RNA
Source: RNAcentral